Molecule: ribosomal RNA, 428 nt
Filed under: Acidobacteriota bacterium
Lineage: Bacteria; Pseudomonadati; Acidobacteriota
Description: Acidobacteria bacterium partial 16S ribosomal RNA
Rfam family: Bacterial small subunit ribosomal RNA
Source: RNAcentral
UGGGGAAUUUUGGACAAUGGGGGAAACCCUGAUACAGCCAUCCCGCGUGUGCGAUGAAGGCCUUCGGGUUGUAAAGCACUUUUGGCAGGAAAGAAACGUCAUGGGUUAAUACCCCGUGAAACUGACGGUACCUGCAGAAUAAGCACCGGCUAACUACGUGCCAGCAGCCGCGGUAAUACGUAGGGUGCAAGCGUUAAUCGGAAUUCUGGGCGUAAAGCGUGCGCAGGCGGUUCGGAAAGAAAGAUGUGAAAUCCCAGAGCUCAACUUUGGAACUGCAUUUUUAACUACCGGGCUAGAGUGUGUCAGAGGGAGGUGGAAUUCCGCGUGUAGCAGUGAAAUGCGUAGAUAUGCGGAGGAACACCGAUGGCGAAGGCAGCCUCCUGGGAUAACACUGACGCUCAUGCACGAAAGCGUGGGGAGCAAACAGG